This 73-nucleotide transfer RNA is filed under the name Paramuricea clavata. It matches the Rfam family "tRNA". From Rfam's summary of the family: Transfer RNA (tRNA) molecules are approximately 80 nucleotides in length. Lineage: Eukaryota; Metazoa; Cnidaria; Anthozoa; Malacalcyonacea; Plexauridae. The record is from Rfam by way of RNAcentral.
GACCGCGUAGCUCAGUUGACAGAGCAUUGGGCUAGUAUUCCAAAGGUCGUAGGUUCGAAUCCCACCGUGGCCA